AGUUUCUAACAUUGUUAUGGCAUUAGCAGUGAUGAUAACAUUGUUGUUCUUAACACCAUUGUUUCACCACGCCCCACUUGUUGUUCUUUCUUCAAUUAUAAUGGCUGCAAUGCUUGGCCUAAUAGACUAUGAAGCUGCAAUUCAUCUUUGGCAAGUAGACAAAUUCGACUUUGUAGCGUGCAUGAGUGCUUACUUGGGCGUCGUUUUUGCCGACAUUGAGAUUGGCCUAAUCUUGGCUGUAAGAACCUACUUUAAUCGAACACUAAGAGCACGAAUUGUGUGUGGAACUAGUGGUUUUAAGAACUAAAUGUGUGUAUGGAAAUGCAUGUUGGAUUAUCUGUGCUUAGGGCACUGUUAUUUGUAGCAAGACCGAGAACUUUUGUUCUUGGAAAUAUCCCAGAAACUAGGAUUUACCGAAGUGUUGAUCAAUAUCCAAACACGAAUAAUGUCCCAGGGC
RNAcentral lists this long non-coding RNA (457 nucleotides) under Olea europaea (common olive). RNAcentral's name for it is "long non-coding RNA (OEUR_LNC012951)". Lineage: Eukaryota; Viridiplantae; Streptophyta; Magnoliopsida; Lamiales; Oleaceae. The record is from RNAcentral.